RNAcentral lists this long non-coding RNA (744 nucleotides) under Bos taurus (domestic cattle). Its description in RNAcentral is "long non-coding RNA NONBTAT009098". The record is from RNAcentral. Lineage: Eukaryota; Metazoa; Chordata; Mammalia; Artiodactyla; Bovidae.
CAUUUCUAUGCAUUGAAUGAAAGUGUCCAAUUACAAAGUUAAUUCUGUAACAUACUUUUUAAAUUUAAACAGCAAAAAUGUUGCAUCCAAAAUGAAUCUCUAUAGCCCCCCAAAAGACAUAUAUGCAGGAAGACCAAGGGUUUGGUGAAAAUUAAAAAUAUUUCAUACUUUGAAAUUUAGAAUUAAUUUAAUUUAGAAUCAUUCCCAAAUUUUAUAGUCUAGAUUGAAAUAUUAAUUUGAAAUUACCUUGGCCACUGAAAUCCUAAAUUUAACACUCUUUAGAACAAAAUAGCCUUUCUCUUCUGCUUUAUGGGCAAAUGAACUAAAUGCUAGGAAAUGGUACUGCCUGGGCCUUUGAACCAAGGCUAAAAGAGAUGAAAUGCUAUCUGAUGUGUAUAAACAUUAGAGAACCCAUUUUGAGCUAAUAAAAGGAUGAGUUUGUUUCAUAUCCUGUGACACAAUAUUCCCUCUUUUCUGAAAAUGCUCUCAUUUUAACAAUAGGGGGUUUUAUUUUUUUUUUUCUCCUCCAGGGUAGGGGUAGAGGAAUCAAGAUAGCUGUUAUAUUCCUUUAUUAAAAUGUACUGUGACGAAAAAUUCAGAGUGUGGAUGGGGAAACAAGCCUGGACUUUACCAAAACAUAAAGCUGCAUUUAGGGCAGCUGGUAAAGGGUUAACAGCAACAGUACAAAUUCAUUAUUUGCAAACUCGACAUUCCCCAAAUCUCUCUAACACCUUGCUUUAAAAG